GUCGCCUCCUAAAAGGUAACGGAGGCGCUCAAAGGUUCCCUCAGAAUGGUUGGAAAUCAUUCAUAGAGUGUAAAGGCAUAAGGGAGCUUGACUGCGAGACCUACAAGUCGAGCAGGGUCGAAAGACGGACUUAGUGAUCCGGUGGUUCCGCAUGGAAGGGCCAUCGCUCAACGGAUAAAAGCUACCCCGGGGAUAACAGGCUUAUCUCCCCCAAGAGUUCACAUCGACGGGGAGGUUUGGCACCUCGAUGUCGGCUCAUCGCAUCCUGGGGCUGUAGUCGGUCCCAAGGGUUGGGCUGUUCGCCCAUUAAAGCGGUACGCGAGCUGGGUUCAGAACGUCGUGAGACAGUUCGGUCCCUAUCCGUCGUGGGCGUAGGAAAUUUGAGAGGAGCUGUCCUUAGUACGAGAGGACCGGGAUGGACAUACCUCUGGUGUACCAGUUGUCGUGCCAACGGCAUAGCUGGGUAGCUAUGUGUGGACGGGAUAAGUGCUGAAAGCAUCUAAGCAUGAAGCCCCCCUCAAGAUGAGAU
RNAcentral lists this ribosomal RNA (529 nucleotides) under Staphylococcus aureus. Its description in RNAcentral is "partial 23S ribosomal RNA". It matches the Rfam family "Bacterial large subunit ribosomal RNA", at positions 2282 to 2810 of the family's 2925-position model. Lineage: Bacteria; Bacillati; Bacillota; Bacilli; Caryophanales; Staphylococcaceae. The record is from RNAcentral.